Molecule: long non-coding RNA, 212 nt
Filed under: Lathyrus oleraceus (garden pea)
Lineage: Eukaryota; Viridiplantae; Streptophyta; Magnoliopsida; Fabales; Fabaceae
Description: Pisum sativum (pea) long non-coding RNA (PSAT_LNC007753)
Source: RNAcentral
ACCCAAUGAGCAAAGGCACAAGCCAACAAGUCAAACUCAAAUGAGCUAAAAACCCUACAAAACACACAAGGUUAGUAGUCAAAAGUAAACAUCAAAGGCUCAAGUGAUAGAGCAUCAACAACUAUGGAACUUGAAUGCUCAACCUGAAAUCAAAGCUCAAACAUGAGAGGCAAACCACUAGGUCAAAGCCUAGGGUCACAGAUGGAGAAAAA